Long non-coding RNA from Vicia villosa (hairy vetch), 2634 nucleotides. RefSeq lists it as uncharacterized. The transcript is spliced from 10 exons. NCBI's taxonomy places the organism in Eukaryota, Viridiplantae, Streptophyta, Magnoliopsida, Fabales, Fabaceae. The record is from RefSeq and is a predicted model, not a curated record.
UUUUUCCUCACGCUCUCUCUCUCAAAAUUUCCCCAACAACCUUCUUUCUCUCUUUUCUCUCUACAACAUCCUCUCUUAUCUCUCUACAGCAACCUUCUUUCUCUCUUUUUUCUCUUUCUGCUUCUCUCUUGCUUCCAUAUCCCUCUUCCUUUUGCUCUUCUUCUUCUUCUCCCUUCUUUCUCUUUUGUUAUCUGAAACUCUUCCUUUUGCUCUUCUUCUUCUUCUCCCUUCUUUCUCUUUUGUUAUCUGAAACAAUAAUGAUGUCCGAAUCGGUUUACGGUGUGCGAAUCGAUUGGAUUCUGAUUUUUUAGGGUUUCAAAUAGUGAAAAUCGGUUAUAAAGUUAGGUUUUUAAUUUGUUGUUUGGGUUUUAGUGGUUUAUUUGAUGAUUUUGUGGUUUGUUUUUCAGGAUAUAGACUGGAUUGAGUUUUACCGCUGAGUUAUGAAGCUAACUAGGUUAUAGACUGAAUCGAAUUUUACCGCUGAGUUUGAAGCUAACAAGGUCUGAAUAAACACCAGUUCAAACGUAACAACUGUUAUCGCCUUUGUGAAGUUAGCGCUGACCAAUUUCUUGCAGAAAUUGAAGAGAAGCUGAGGAGUUUGUUUCUAACAAGUGGGCUUUUUCCAGGGGGGAAGAUUCGCCGGCGGUGCUUGCAAAGUGUUCGCCUCUGAUACCAUUCACGUUGCGGAUGUAAGAAUUAAAAGCGGAAGAACACUGCCGCGUCAUUGGCGUGUUUUCAGAAGCGGAUAUGUGGUGUCAGAGUUAUUGUCAAGUUGCAUAUCAAGAAAAAGAAUCCUUCAAUUUCGCUUCAACAAGUUGGGGCUGCUGGGCCAAUCUUGCUCGGUUUUGCACCUCCUUCCACUCUUUCAGCCUCCAGCUCAUCCAAGGCCUCAUGCUGUGUUUUUGCUGGAACUGAAUGUAAUCAAAGGUCUUGAAAGCAUUGCCUAGGAUAAUGCAAUGUUCAGCAAGUCAUCAUGGGAUGCAAAUUUUAUUGGUUCAGAUAAAGUUGACAUUCAACUUCCAGCUGCCGAUGAUAUUCAACCGGAGGACCCUUACAUCGCCAGGAUCUAUUCUACUUUUUUGGCAUUGCUGGAGGUAAGUUGAUCAAAAGGCUCUGUAAAAUGUGUUUUGAGAAGGUAGUUCACGUGGAAGUAAGUUGGUUUGAUAAAGCUGAGCAUUCAAGUGGAGCAAUUGGUGCAAAGCUUUCUACUGACGCAACUUCGAUUCAAGCUUUGGUUGGCGAUGCACUUGGCUUACUGGUUGAAAAAUAUUGCUACAGCUAUAGCUGGCUUGGUAAUUGCUUUUGUAGCUAGCUGGCAGCUUGCUCUUAUAAUCCUUGCCAUGGUGCCUCUCCUAGCCCUAAAUGGACUUUUGCAAGUGAAGUUCUUGAAAGGGUUCAACACUGAUGAAAAGCAAGUCAAGUGGCGAAUGAUGCAGUAGGGAGUAUACGAACAGCUGCUUCUUUCUGUUCUGAAGAGAAAAUGAUGGAAUUAUAUAAGCGAAAAUGCGAGGGACCAAUUAAGACUGGAAUAAGGCGAGGGAUAGUAAGAGGAUUUGGUUUUGGAGUAUUUAAGAAGUGGUUCCUCACAAGAGGAUUUAGAGGAUGUGCAUAGAGUGAACCCUGGAACUAUUGAAAAACUUGUAUUUCCAUCUGUUAGUAAAUUAGAUCCUGAAAUUUAUGGUCCAUUAGAGUCUGCUCUUAAAGACAUGAAACAUGUGCUUAUGUCAAACCACUCUUUAGGAAAUGACUUUGAGACAUGAAACAUGUGCUUCUGUCAAACAACUCUUUAGCCAUAUAUUUAUAUCUCACUGACUUAGAAACAUAUACUUCCAAAGUUCCAACGUCGCAUCAUGUUAUAUACAGCAUAUACUCCACACAAAUAGAGAGGGCAGGUUUGUAGAUUUGGUUGAAAUAAAAUAUGCAAACCAGAAAGGAGAUAUCAGGAUUGUUCAUGAACUUCCCAAGAAUUUGGACAUGUGUACAGUGUAUUUUCGGACAUAUCCUUAGAUGCAUAUCUUAUCCUUUUCUAAUGUUAUCUUCUUUAUUGGGCAUGUGUACAGUGUAUUUUCGGACAUAUUCGAUGAGUUUCAUUUCAUUGAAUCCCUGAAAGGAGAUAUCAGGAUUGUUCAUGAACUUCCCAAGAAUUUGGAAGCUGCCCCCAGGCUAGGAAACACUUCACUUCCUGGGCUGGAGUUGGUUACUAUGAAGAGAUGACAAAGUUAUGGAAUGAGUAUCAGGGAGUUCUUCCUCUAUGAUGAGCAACUUUUGUUGGUCCUUAUUUUCUGCACAAGGCUUCAUUUUAAAACUGGCUAAUCAGUAAACAUACUUUUGCUUGCUUUAUCUCAAAUAGCUCCCUGUGAAAAUUAAUACUUCAACUUUCUUGUAUAUACUUCUGAAUAUUUCUAUUUGUGAAAGUAGCAGUAUGACUAGACACUGGUCACCACGAGAGACACCUUCUUGCUCCAAUCCACCUCUUUAAUUAGCCAAUACAAAGACUUAAAGAAAAGGAAAUGGUUGAAAGGCUAGCUGGCAGCUCAAUGUAAAAUGUAAAUAUAUUUUCACAUGAGUACGAAUAUGGGGAUUGCAUGUUUAUUCAAUAGUUCAUGUAGUUAGACCUUAGUACUUUUACCUCAU